UUUUCCCGUCGUGUUUUUUUGUACGUGCAUGCAGUUCAAUUCAGGAACCAAAUCAAAACAACGCAAUACCGGAUACGUCAUGGAAUUUUGCUUAGUUGCCGUACCAGAACCAUCAAAUACGAAGAAAAAAGUUAUCCCCAGUCCCCACUUCUCAGUCAGUCCUCUCCUCACGUAGGCACUCCUAUAUAAUGGAUCAGCUACAUUUAGUACAGUUUUUUGUUAUCGCAGUAAAAUAAUUUUAGUAUUGGAUAAGUGUGUGUAUUUAUAGAUUUAAGUGCAUUACUAGAUUAUUAGCUACGUUCACCCAACAAUGACAACAUUCCACGAUUGUGCGCUGCAAGGUCUAAGCCCGAUAUGGAAAAACGGUUGAAAUAAAAUUGAUAAUCAUACACAACGACAGACAUACAUACACGACGCACGCACAUGUAGGUGAUACGCCGGACAAAUGGUUCAUUGGAUUUUUUGUCGCUAUGUGGUUGGUGUGCUUCACACACAGCGCGCUUCUGGCAGUCGAAAUUAUGAAUCUGCAUUUUUCGAAAAGUUUCGUCCAGCAUAGCAAGGAGCUCCAUGAAGGUGUGAGCUUUCUCCUCAUCUGUUUGCAACAUAAUUAGAGUCAAUCGCCCAUUCAUCAAUCAUUCCAGUUUGCAUAUACUAAUGGUAUAUUAAAGGCAUGUAAAUUGUACAUAUAUUAUAGAUAGAGUGUGUGAUUUCACACUAUUUAACCUUAACUGUUUAUUCUACUAAGAUUUGAGGUAUGGACUUUUAAAGGUGAACAUCAAAUCAAAACAAAAAAAUUAUGUGAAAGCAACUUACCAGUCGAACGCAUUUUACGGUAGUUGCUACUUCCGUAGCCGUAACUCUUUUCAGUUUUGGCUGCUGAUGUGAUCGCGAUCCACAACAGCGAUCCAAGCAGGAUCAAUCCUACUAUAGCCCCUACCGAUGCGAUAAGCGUCGUUGAAUUGUAGAUGUAGAGAAAGCGACCCGUUUCGCUCAGCGCUUCGAUUGUGUUCCCGCGAGCAAAAGCGUCAACGAUUUCAAUAAUUUGGUCCAUGUUUUUUAAUUACUGGAGUUACGAGUUAAAGUCAGAAUUCUACUGAGAUGCUAACGAGAACUUAGGAAAUCAAGUACGUUGGACGACGGUCGGCAAAGAACUAAUUUAUUGUCAACAUCCUUACUUGUUUUAUAUGCACACAUUCGAAAAUGCACACUGCAUAACUGCACAGAGGAGGGAAAUAAGACGGAUUCAACAAAGCGGAAUGGUAGAACAUAGGAUGUACUACAGUUCAGAAAUUUCAGUGAGAAAUACUCAAAACUCCGCCCCAUUGAUUACUUAUUUAUGACCGAAUGCCAUUUUAUUCCUUUUUUUAGAACUCGUUUGUAAUUUCCUACUUAUUUAUCUCUGAUUAGAAGACUUUAGAUAGACUGUUGAGUUGAUUUCGCCUUUUACUUCUUUUUUUUUUGGUUGUCGAUUACCCGACUGCCAAUUAGCCUGUAAUAAUA
Daphnia pulex (common water flea) is the source of this 1500-nucleotide long non-coding RNA. RefSeq lists it as uncharacterized. The record is from RefSeq and is a predicted model, not a curated record. Lineage: Eukaryota; Metazoa; Arthropoda; Branchiopoda; Diplostraca; Daphniidae. The transcript has 2 exons.